Molecule: long non-coding RNA, 3189 nt
Filed under: Nicotiana tabacum (common tobacco)
Lineage: Eukaryota; Viridiplantae; Streptophyta; Magnoliopsida; Solanales; Solanaceae
Description: long non-coding RNA (NTAB_LNC000102)
Source: RNAcentral
GGAAAUAUAAAACGCAAAAUCUCUUUUUUUUUUGGAUUUUUGAGUUAUAACAACUUUUCCAAAUACAAAAUAGAAAGUACAAUAACAAAAGACUCGACAUUACUGUACAAACUAGAAGGUAAAAGAUGACAUAAAUAUUACAACAGACUCAUAAAAGAAAUCUCCUUAAGCAAACUCCUGAAUGAGCGUCUCUGACUGGAUGGUCCUAGGGUGUUUGUCAUGCCCAAACUCCGGAAAGUAGAUUCACACCUGUAUGAGAAAAUUAAGACCAAAUAAAGUUAAAGACCUAGAACACUAUGUGAGACAAUAACACUUCUUGUUGGACAAUAUGCAAGACAUGAUUGAGGCUAUUUUUGCAAAAUGGCUUAUGCGGCCUAAAGAUGGCUAGAUGUGCAAAAUUUGGCUAAGACCCCGGAAAGCCAAGAACCUAAGAUUUACUAGGAAGACCGAACCCUAUGUGGGUUGCCUAUGUAUCACGCCCUGAAAGACGAGAAUCAGGUAUGCGUAUAAACUCUUUUUGUCUUUUUCUUUUUUGAAAAAUGAUGAAACAUAUAAACUCUUUUUGGAUUUUCCUUUCCCCCUUUUUUGAUUUUCGGAAAAUGAUGAAAAAGUGCAAAAUCUUUUUUUUUUGAUUUUUUUAUUUUAUUUUUCUUUUUCUUAACAAAAAUGUGAAAGAAAAUAUAACUGGGCCCUACUUGAUUUAUUUUCACACUUCACCCUCUUUUUUUUCAUUUGUCCUCAACUAUCAUUGAUCCGCCAAAUGACCCUUUUACCCUUGAAGAUUGUAACAUGUAGCACAUAGGAUGCAUCAGGAUGGUCUUUUAUUUUUGGGUACACCUGUCCUAGAUGGACUCAACCCCUGUGUUGAGUCCCCAAAGUCAAAUGCACAUGAUGCAAACAAAUGUGCCUACUAGAGAUCCAUCAUGAGGUUAUAUUAUUCUAAGUUUAACCCUGGGGUUGUGUUAUUGAUCUGGCUUACCCGAGCGGACUACUCGAGCCGAAGAUGGGGCAACAUACCGGGAGCACGAAAGUCUACCCGGCCUUGUUGCUGGCCCAGCCUCGUUCUAUUUGGCAUGACUUCUACAGAAAAAGUGGGCCAUGCGAACGUGUGCGCCAUUUUUAGAAGACUUAGAGGGGUGGCGUAAGAAGACAGUUAUAUACAAUUCAAAUAAUAUCAAAGCGGUAAAUAGACAACAAUUAGCACAAAAGGUUCAGAAAAUAAAGUAAUAUCAAUAAUAAAUAAAGCCAAGUAAAAAUCAUAUUAACAAUCUCGAAUUCUUGAACCCUGAACCAAAAGUUCUGGGUUCUUCUCCUCCCCAGUAGAGUCGCCAGAGCUGUCACAUCUCCUUUUACUACCCCCGGAAGGGGUAUAUAGGAGUUUUUCAAUUAAAGUGACAAUAAUCAAAACAUAAUUAUUUAUUUAAAUUCAGAUUCGCCACUUGGGAUAAUUUAUGGUGUCCCAAUUCACCGGUUUAAAAUCCCGAAUCGAGGAGAUUUGACUCUGUAUUAAUGUCUGUGAAAUACAGAAAUUCGGGUAAGGAAUUCUGUUAACCCGGGAGAAGGUGUUAGGCACUCCCAAGUUCCGUGGUUCUAGCACAGUCGCUUUGAUCAUACUUGGCUUAAUCAAAUUGUCUAAUUACUUAUUUUAGAACCUAUGUGCAUUUGCCUUUUUUAAUUAAGAAAUUAUCUUGAAACGGGUCACGCGUACAUGUACCCAUUUGUUUGGCACGUCAAAAUCAUGUUAUGCGAACGUGUCCACAAUUAAUAACACUUUAUUAUUAUUAAGAAUAUUUGGUCGAAGUUGCGCGAACACAUACUCCAAUUAUGUUUUUAGAAUCGUAAUCGUGUCAUGCGAACGUGUACACCAUCGCAGUGAUACAUUAAACGUUCCUAGAGCAAACUACGAAUAUUCAUUUUAGAAACCGUAAUCAUAUCACACGAACGUGUCCAUAAUCAAGAUAAUAAAUUCAAAACGCGCCUAAAGGUUCGCCUACCCAGGUGUGAUCGGUCUAAACAUACAUUCUAACAAUGCGAUUAGACAAAACCAUAAGAAAAAUAACUCAAUUUUUUUAACUUCAAAUUAAUCCCCUCGACCAGAACCUUUCAAAUUUUAUUAACCCAAGCCUAACUCACAGUGUGCUUCUAAUUGUACGCAAGAUUGUCACAACAAACCAUUUACAUUUAAAACCAACUUAAACCCAGAUUCUUUUCCUAUUAACCAACACAAUAGCUUAGGUUGAGACAUGAUUUUUAUCAAGCAAGUAUAAGAAAAUAGUGACAUAAGUAUCAACUAGAUAUGAAGGCUAACUUAAAAAAACAACAGCAUAUUAUAUCCCUACAGCGCACCAAAGGCCUAAAUCAGUUUCAACUCAAGUCGUUUCCUUCACCAUUUCAUAUACCGAAUAAGUUACGAAACUUUUAGUUAUAUAAGUCAAGGUUGCGUUGAAAUAUUAAUUCAUCCUAUUCACUAUCACGAAUCAAGGCACUUAACCAAAUAAUGAAACUAAGACAGCAAAUGCAAACAAACCGACGUAACAAAAUACCAAAAAUCCUUCACCAAACUAUGAAUAACGAAAUGAAAUAACAUAUAGGUUCGAGAAAUGUACCUCUACUGCAGCACAUUCGAGCAAAUCUCAUGGCUGUUGCUGGAUGUCGAUUUGAUGUGCUCUGUAUGUGUUCGUUGCUUAUUUUUUUGUUUUGUUUAUGCCCGUAGGAGAUGGUGAUGUUGAGGAGAUCUAGCCGGUGUUGGUUGUUGCAGGUUUUGUUUUAGAGAGGAAGGUCGUUGGAGGAGAUUGCUGGUUGGUGUCCGUUUGGUCGUUUCUGGUGUUUGAUUUGUGAAGACGAAGAGGAACAGUGGUAGGUGUUUUGUUGAAGAAGAAAGUAGAAUGGAUGGGGUCCCUUUUUUGUGUUAUCAGCGGCUGAUUUUUUAGGCGUUCUUGAUUUUGUUUCAGAAGUUGGAAAAUAUUCAGGGGGGUCGCGUUUGGUUGAAGAAGAAGCAGAACGGUGGGGGGGGGGGGGGGGGUCUAUGUCUUCUGCGGCGGAUCUUCUGAUGCCUAGGGUCUAGGUCUUUUGUUCCUUUUAGGAACGACUGAAAGGUUUUUUGCCUUGGGUCUUUUCUGAUUUUUUUUCCUCUUGUGUAUUAGGUCUUGUAUUUUUUGUAUAUGUUAGUCCCUAUCCAAAGAAAAACGG